Molecule: ribosomal RNA, 378 nt
Filed under: uncultured archaeon
Lineage: Archaea
Description: bacterial SSU rRNA
Rfam family: Archaeal small subunit ribosomal RNA
Source: RNAcentral
CACCGGCGGCCCGAGUGGUAGCCGUUAUUAUUGGGUUUAAAGGGUCCGUAGCCGGCCUAUUAAGUCUCUUGGGAAAUAUGGCGACUCAAUCGUCAUGCGUUCAAGAGAUACUGGUAGGCUUGGGACCGGGAGAGGUGGGAGGUACUCCAGGGGUAGGGGUGAAAUCUCGUAAUCCUUGGGGGACCACCGAUGGCGAAGGCAUCCCACCAGAACGGGUCCGACGGUGAGGGACGAAAGCUGGGGGCACGAACCGGAUUAGAUACCCGGGUAGUCCCAGCCGUAAACGAUGCUCGCUAGGUGUCAGGUGCGGUGCGACCGCAUCUGGUGCCGUCGUGAAAACUUGAAGCGAGUCACCUGGGAAGUACGGUCGCAAGGCUG